CACCGUCGAAUUGACGUCGACUCGACAUCAUUUCGACGUCGAUCGACGGAUCAUUUCUCACUGGGAUGUCACUUAAAUAGUUUCAAAAUCGCAGAUUUUAUUAUACGCAGACCGUUAUAAAUCUCAAAUAUGUUUAUAACCUAUAUAAUACUUACGUGACAUUUUGCGUAUUUCGCUGCUUCUCUGCGAUUAAAACAAAUGAAGUUGCACACAGAGGUGCAAACUGUGGGGCCGAGCAGCAUCGAAGUGUUACACUCGGUGCUCACGUACACAAGCGCAACCAUGCCGUGUGCUGCAGAGCAGAGUGCUCUGCGCAGCACACGGACAUGGUUGCGCUUGUGCGCGCGAGCACCGAGUGUAAGGGUGCCGUCCCAUGGAGCGGAAUAGCGUAACGCGGAACGAGAGCGGAACCAAUCACGAGCGUUCCGCAGUUUUCAGUAGGUUUUAGCGGAAUAACUUUUCGCAGUUGCGCGCAGUUAACAUAUACAUACAUCUGUAUAUACACACACACACACACGGGACUAGAAAGUCUUCUUAGCAAUAACGUAGUGCAAUAAAAACGUUGUAUGUGUUAAACAAGAUAAGCAGUAAAAUAAGCUACAAGAAAAAUGAGCAGCGUUAAAUCAUCACAAUUAAGCAAAAAAUGUGGAUACUGUGGAUGGAUUGUAACAAAGAAUAUGGACUUGUUACAACAUUCGUGCUUCUCUGAAUAUGACAAAGCCACAAACAUGAUUUAUAAUUUAUAUCGAUGAGAAUAACAUCAUAACUAUAGUAAAUAAAGAUACCGAUACUCUUCCCGAACAGGAUGUCAAUCUUCUUGAAUUACAAGAUACAGAAAUAACAACGGACGAACUUCUAAUAGCAUGUGUUGCUCAGAAGCCUGCUUUAUAUGAUCACCGGUUACCGAUUGCCGAGCGGACAUUAUUAAAAAAAAAUGCUCUCUUUAUUUAUGCUUCUCUUUUAUUGCAUUCUCACGUUGUACCAUUUUUUAAUAUAUUAUAUAUAAUUUUAACACA
Vollenhovia emeryi is the source of this 1016-nucleotide long non-coding RNA. RefSeq lists it as uncharacterized. NCBI's taxonomy places the organism in Eukaryota, Metazoa, Arthropoda, Insecta, Hymenoptera, Formicidae. The transcript has 3 exons. The record is from RefSeq and is a predicted model, not a curated record.